Molecule: ribosomal RNA, 460 nt
Filed under: uncultured bacterium
Lineage: Bacteria
Description: partial 16S ribosomal RNA
Rfam family: Bacterial small subunit ribosomal RNA
Source: RNAcentral
CCUACGGGUGGCAGCAGUGAGGAAUAUUGGUCAAUGGGCGCUAGCCUGAACCAGCCAAGUAGCGUGAAGGAUGACUGCCCUCUGGGUUGUAAACUUCUUUUAUAUGGGAAUAAAGUGCAGUAUGUAUACUGCUUUGCAUGUACCUUAUGAAUAUGGAUCGGCUAACUCCGUGCCAGCAGCCGCGGUAAUACGGAGGAUCCGAGCGUUAUCCGGAUUUAGUGGGUUUAAAGGGAGCGUAGGCGGGUUGUUAAGUCAGUUGUGAAAGUUUGGGGCUCAACCGUAAAAUUGCAGUUGAUACUGGCAGCCUGGAGUACAGGAGAGGUAGGCGGAAUUCGUGGUGUAGCGGUGAAAUGCUUAGAUAUCACGAAGAACUCCGAUUGCGAAGGCAGCCUGCUGGACUGUAACUGACGCUGAUGCUCGAAAGUGUGGGUAGCAAACAGGAUUAGAUACCCUUGUAGUC